UGGGGAAUAUUGGACAAUGGGCGAAAGCCUGAUCCAGCCAUGCCGCGUGUGUGAAGAAGGUCUUCGGAUUGUAAAGCACUUUAAGUUGGGAGGAAGGGCAUUAACCUAAUACGUUAGUGUUUUGACGUUACCGACAGAAUAAGCACCGGCUAACUCUGUGCCAGCAGCCGCGGUAAUACAGAGGGUGCAAGCGUUAAUCGGAAUUACUGGGCGUAAAGCGCGCGUAGGUGGUUCGUUAAGUUGAAUGUGAAAUCCCCGGGCUCAACCUGGGAACUGCAUCCAAAACUGGCGAGCUAGAGUAUGGUAGAGGGUGUGGAAUUUCCUGUGUAGCGGUGAAAUGCGUAGAUAUAGGAAGGAACACCAGUGGCGAAGGCGACCACCUGGACUGAUACUGACACUGAGGUGCGAAAGCGUGGGGAGCAAACAGGAUUAGAUACCCGAGUAGUCCCUGAGCGGGCUGGCAAGGCGCAU
Molecule: ribosomal RNA, 471 nt
Filed under: uncultured bacterium
Lineage: Bacteria
Description: bacterial SSU rRNA
Rfam family: Bacterial small subunit ribosomal RNA
Source: RNAcentral